CUUUAGCUUAAAAGUAGAGCACUAGUCUGAAGCACUGGGGGUACUAUUAUAUAGUAGG
Molecule: transfer RNA, 58 nt
Filed under: Tristoma integrum
Lineage: Eukaryota; Metazoa; Platyhelminthes; Monogenea; Capsalidea; Capsalidae
Description: tRNA-Phe
Source: RNAcentral